UGGAGAAGAUUUUACUCCAUAAUGAUGUUUGGAGUUGAAAAUGGAGUAGGGUUGGAGAUGCCCUAAGCCAUCAUACACCCUACAGGUUUUCUCAAUAUAUAAAAACUUCAUAACUUGCCGUCAAAAUUAUAAGCCUAAAAAUACCCUCUCAGAGGAACCAUACCUGUGAAAGCUUUUCCUCUUGCUGGAUCUGGUGCUGUAAAGAGGACUCGACCACCAAUAACAAUAGGUGGGCGUUCAUAUGGGAGAUGAUCAAAUACCCAACCUAAUGGUUCUCAGUCUGCUGUUUCCUAAAGACAUGGUGUAAACUCUGAACCAGUAUAAUAGGGAAGAAGUUGCACAUGUUCCAGUACAACGUGAUGUUGGAAUGAUCCACCCAUCUCGACAUAAUGGGCUCUUCAAGAAACGAUUUGAAACUAUAAAGGCUUUCUGCUUCGGCUCAGACUAGUUUGGUUUUGGUGCUAUUUUAGUUUGUUGCUAUUUUAUAUGCUUUUAAUUUCUUUAUGCUAUUUGUUUUUUUUUCAUUCUUAAUUGUUGUUCAAGUUUACACUAUAUUAUGAAAAUUUUAUUUUUAAUAA
Molecule: long non-coding RNA, 578 nt
Organism: Brassica napus (rape)
Lineage: Eukaryota; Viridiplantae; Streptophyta; Magnoliopsida; Brassicales; Brassicaceae
Exons: 2
Source: RefSeq, a predicted model, not a curated record